RNAcentral lists this unclassified non-coding RNA (257 nucleotides) under fungal sp. RNAcentral describes it as "partial contains 5.8S ribosomal RNA, internal transcribed spacer 2, and large subunit ribosomal RNA". Lineage: Eukaryota; Fungi. The record is from RNAcentral.
CGCACCUUGCGCUCCUUGGUAUUCCGAGGAGCAUGCCUGUUCGAGUGUCAUGAAAAUCUCAACUACAUAAUAUGUAGCUUGGAUCUGGAGCUUGUCGGUCCGUCCGACUGCUCUGAAAUGCAUUAGCCACGGUUGAACUCACCGAGACUCGGCGUCAUAACUUCAAUGCGCUGCCAACGGUAGAAAGACGCGGCUUAACAAUACCAACAUUCAUUCUAUUUGACCUCGAAUCAGGUAGGACUACCCGCUGAACUUAA